AUGCCGUGACGAACCAAAUUCAACACAUCAUUCUUAUUGUGAAGUGAAGAAACUUUUUACCACUGAGCAUA
This is a small nucleolar RNA of Ictalurus furcatus (blue catfish), 71 nucleotides long. RefSeq annotates it as small nucleolar RNA SNORD63. The record is from RefSeq and is a predicted model, not a curated record. Lineage: Eukaryota; Metazoa; Chordata; Actinopteri; Siluriformes; Ictaluridae. The transcript has a single exon.